This 527-nucleotide long non-coding RNA is filed under the name Setaria italica (foxtail millet). Its description in RNAcentral is "long non-coding RNA (SITA_LNC000479)". Lineage: Eukaryota; Viridiplantae; Streptophyta; Magnoliopsida; Poales; Poaceae. The record is from RNAcentral.
AACCAAAUCUUCGUCCACAUUAUGCUUGUGGGAUUAUAACAAGUUCUUCUCUAGAUUGCACUAGAGACUCACAUACAUCAAGAUUUCACCAUUUUAGACAGCAACAACAAGAUUUAAGGCUACAAGUUAGGGUGGGUGUGGAAGGAUCUCACCAAAGAGUGGUGGAACAACGGAUUGGAGGUAUCAAGGAUGAGGAUCUAUGGUUUCUAAACCUUGAGGACGAAUCCCUCUUGUUUUCUUGCAAAUUCUCCUCGCUCUCCAAUCUCCCAUUCUUCUCCCACUCUUCUCUUCUCCUUACGGAGGUUCUGUUCUGAAAUUUUCGUGGGUCUCCUCUCUAGUUCCAGAAGCUUCUACCUUCUCUUGUAAGGCAGCAUAAAUACUAAAACCACCUAAGGUUAAUCCACACCCUGACUAUAUAUCCCAUACAUAUGAGGUCGCUUACUAGGAACAGUUACUCUACUCACUUGUCCAUAGCAUGAGAAGGAUUACCCAACGUAUAUAUGUCUGUUCAACUUGGUAGGAACUUC